This 203-nucleotide non-coding RNA is filed under the name Gammaproteobacteria bacterium. RNAcentral's name for it is "6S RNA". It matches the Rfam family "6S / SsrS RNA". Rfam says of the family: E. coli 6S RNA was the first non coding RNA to be sequenced, but its function was unknown until recently. Lineage: Bacteria; Pseudomonadati; Pseudomonadota; Gammaproteobacteria. The record is from RNAcentral.
AGUCUCCUGGGGUGUUUGCGAGCUGGUUAUACGCCCUUGAGCCGUGAUUACACGAUAGGAGGAAGGGUCUUGUGUCCAAGCGUGCACGCCUUCGCCGAGCUGCCUUCUUCACUCGGCACGGGAAGCCGGGGAUACUCGUUCUUCCGCCGCCCUGAUCCCAUACGGUUCAGGGCUCGCCAGAGCGCGGCACACCCGGGAGUUCU